GUUCAAGAGUACGUGAAACCGUUCAGGGGUAAACGGGAGACAUCCAGAAUUCGAAAGGGGACGGGAUUCACGUCACUCUGGAGCAGAUCGAGUCGGCCCGGCCUUGAUGGUGCCGGUCCGCCGCAGCUUUGGUUUCGCUUGCGGUGUCGACUGAAUCCACAAGGUUUGCGGCUGAUCACAUGCCGGAGGACUGCACUUCACCCCUAGUAGAAACGUCGCGACCCGUUGGGUGCCGGUCAAAGGCCUGGGAAGGCAGACCGCGCGUUCCGUGGUGGGUACCACGGGCGUGCGGACUCCCGGUGACCCGGCCGGCUGCCCGACGGUAUGAUCAGAGGAGCCGAUCCGCUAAUUGGAAAACACUGUGGUUGUGAAGCGUGCGGCCCGGCGUUACGUUGCGUGUGGGGUCCCAUGCUAAAAACCGGGAAGUUACCGUGAGUCCACGGUCCCGUACCCUGCUGCGUUUUCGGCGCCGGUGUCCUCGCACUGGAUUGAUACUCCCGUCUGCGGCGCACACUAUCGGAUUC
Molecule: ribosomal RNA, 524 nt
Filed under: Chitoniscus lobipes
Lineage: Eukaryota; Metazoa; Arthropoda; Insecta; Phasmatodea; Phylliidae
Description: partial 28S ribosomal RNA
Source: RNAcentral